Molecule: long non-coding RNA, 1546 nt
Organism: Aplysia californica (California sea hare)
Lineage: Eukaryota; Metazoa; Mollusca; Gastropoda; Aplysiida; Aplysiidae
Exons: 3
Source: RefSeq, a predicted model, not a curated record
ACUCACAGUUUGAAAUGAGAAAAUGGCCAGUCGUCAAAGUGGAUGUAAUAAGACUGCAACGAUAAGUUUUUCUCGAACUCAUUUCUGCCAAUCGGUCAGAAACUGAAAUGGACGGGUAAUAUUUCCACAAGGAACAGAGGGGCUGAAUGACGAACACAAAGCUCCCAGUCUUGUUGUCCAAACCACACCGCGCGGUAACCACUGCUCGGAUCUGAUUGGCGACUGGCUGAACCAAUCGCGUUCAAGUUCUCGUGUCGGAAGAAAAAAAGAAAUGAAUGUAGAACAGCGAUGAGAGCCAAAUCCUGUACUCGGUCGUGUUUAUAGGUGUACAAACUUCUCAUGCGUUCAAAACACAGCGCGAGGAUACGAUAGAAUGGAAGUGAACGUUUGCUCUGUGCUUUAGCCGAGAAUCGUCGAAGAUGGCCGGAUCACCCCAGCGAAGAUCAUCUAGACAUUUAUUCAGAACGACACCUUCUUCCCGGAGACGUGCUUGAACCCAAACGCCUUGUGCAACACCCCUCAUUCAUCAACUGUGAAGGACACGCCGAUCCUACUAUAAAUAACUGCUCCGGACUGGGAUUUUUCUUCCUCCCUCUACUGACAUCUUGUUCUUCAUCUUCAGCUUCAGCUUCCGCUUCCGCUUCAGCGCCGCGCCAUAAUUUAAGUGGCCAACUGUCUAUCAAGGAAAACGGACAUAUAUUUUUCUUUUUGUCAAGCGCGAGGGAGAAACGCAGUUUUGAGGGACGAUCUCCUCAGUGAAUCCUGGUGGCGUUUAAGUUUUUUUAAGAGAACCGGUCCGUAGCGCUUGAUAUUAUUACUUUUGUGGGAAGUGAUAUUUUGUAUAGUUUUUGAAACGAACUUCGACUACAUUGCUCAAUAUUGUAGAUGUGAUAGUUGCUUUAGAAGACAAACAGGACAUCCAUUUUUAAGCGUCUUUCACACCUAAAGAACAACAACCUAGCUAUCUUCGGAAGAAGACAGAAAGAUUGAGAAAUUAAAAGAAACUUGGGUCCAAGCGUCUUUCACCAACAGAGCAACAAACAACCCAACUUUAUGCUGAGAAACAAAGAGACAAAGUUUGACAACUCCAGAGAAAUUUGUUAAUUUAAAAAAGUGAUCUCUAAGAGCCUACAAAGUGAAAAAUUAGCUGUUGGCUCUGCAAGUGAAUACAUGAAUCCCUCAUGGCACGACUUCUACUAGAUGCUAUCUGCAACGGGGAUGAGGUGCUUGCUCACGAGCUCAUUCUCAGUGGUACCUACGGCUGUGUGGACAGUCAGACUUCACGCCGAGAUGGCACCGCCCUUUUCUUUUGCUGCUCCAGUGGCUACUUGGGCUUGGCCCAGAUGCUAUUGGCUAGAGGCGCCAGUGUACACGCCCAGAACAAGAACCUGGCCACGCCCCUUCAUGCAGCAUCGGAUAGAGGCUAUCUUAGCAUUGUCAAGUGAGUACAAGUUGUGUUUUUGUUGAAAAAUGGCUCGUGUGUUGGCAUACAUAUAUGAAUGUGUUGAGCUGAGGAGAACAAUCGGUUAGGAAAGAAAAAGACAAA